GAUGAACGCUGGCGGCGUGCCUAAUACAUGCAAGUCGAGCGAACAGACGAGGAUCUUGCUCCUCUGACGUUAGCGGCGGACGGGAGAGUAACACGUGGAUAACCUACCUAUAAGACUGGGAUAACUUCGGGAAACCGGAGCUAAUACCGGAUAAUAUAUUGAACCGCAUGGUUCAAUAGUGAAAGACGGUUUUGCUGUCACUUACAGAUGGAUCCGCGCCGCAUUAGCUAGUUGGUAAGGUAACGGCUUACCAAGGCAACGAUGCGUAGCCGACCUGAGAGUGUGAUCGGCCACACUGGAACUGAGACACGGUCCAGACUCCUACGGGAGGCAGCAGUAGGGAAUCUUCCGCAAUGCGCUAAAGCCUGAUGGAGCAACGCCGCGUGAGUGAUGAAGGUCUUCGGAUCGUAAAACUCUGUUAUUAGGGAAGAACAAAUGUGUAAGUAACUAUGCACGUCUUGACGGUACCUAAUCAGAAAGCCACGGCUAACUACGUG
This 497-nucleotide ribosomal RNA is filed under the name uncultured bacterium. RNAcentral describes it as "partial 16S ribosomal RNA". It matches the Rfam family "Bacterial small subunit ribosomal RNA", at positions 28 to 507 of the family's 1533-position model. The record is from RNAcentral.